Molecule: long non-coding RNA, 144 nt
Organism: Bufo bufo (common toad)
Lineage: Eukaryota; Metazoa; Chordata; Amphibia; Anura; Bufonidae
Exons: 4
Source: RefSeq, a predicted model, not a curated record
UGGGGAUUAUUACUAGGAGAUGUAUAGACUGGGCAUGUGCUGCUCUUAUUAGGAAAAGCAGUGCAUGUGCAGUUAGAAUAAAGCCAUGGACGAGCUUUCUCUAAAGCUCCUCCAUGUCGCGUGCAGUCAUGGACGAACUGGCUG